UACGUAGGUGGCAAGCGUUGUCCGGAUUUACUGGGCGUAAAGAGCGCGCAGGCGGUCGUUCAAGUCGCGUGUGAAAGCCCCCGGCUCAACUGGGGAGGGUCACGCGAUACUGAUCGACUCGAAGGCAGGAGAGGGUAGUGGAAUUCCCGGUGUAGUGGUGAAAUGCGUAGAUAUCGGGAGGAACACCAGUGGCGAAGGCGACUACCUGGCCUGUUUCUUGACGCUGAGGCGCGAAAGCUAGGGUAGCGAACGGG
RNAcentral lists this ribosomal RNA (254 nucleotides) under uncultured bacterium. RNAcentral describes it as "partial 16S ribosomal RNA". It matches the Rfam family "Bacterial small subunit ribosomal RNA", at positions 524 to 776 of the family's 1533-position model. The record is from RNAcentral.